UUUUUUUUUUUUUUUUUUGUCAUUGAGAAGCCACUAGGUCUUAGUUCUCUGUUGCUUGGUAGCAAAUUAUCACAAACAAAAAAAUAGAAGGCUUAAAACAACCAGGAUUCAUCACUUCACAGUUUCUAUGGGUCAGUAGCCUGAGCUAGGCUGAGCUUUUUUGUGUGCCUAGCAUCUCAUAAGGUUGCAGCGUAGGUCUGCCAGGGCUGCAGUCUUAUCUGGAUGCUUGACUGAGAAAGGAUCUAUUUUCAAGCUCACUCAAAUUUUUGGCAAGAUUCAUUUUUCUUCACAAUUGUAUGACUAAGUGCCCCAGCUUCAGGAUGGGUAGUGGAUAGAGAUACCUUCCUUGUCAUGUUGGAUUUCCUAACAUGUCUGUUUACUCCAUCAAGCCACUAAGGAGUGUCCCUAGAGCCAGUCUGAAAGCAAGAUGGAGUAUUAUAUGAUAUAUCCAUAGGAGUGACAUCCCUUCACUUUCCUUUGCCAAAUUCUAUGUAUUAGAAGCAAGUUACACCUCCUGUCCACAAUCAAAAGGAGAUUAUUACACAAAGGUGUGAACCUCAGGAAGACCCGAGCUUGUUGGGUGUAUGUAUUCAUUAAAAACAGGUUUUAUCAGCCCUAGAUGAAAACAGCAGAAAUAAAACUUUCUCUGAAGUUUUAACAUCACUAGCAAAUGAUGACUCCGGUAUUUAAAAAUAAAUCACUCUUGUUCCCAGAAUUAAAACCUCUAUAUGAUGAAAAGUUUAUAUCCGGCUCCUUUUCUUGGCUCUUUGACUUCUAUUACACAGCUUAGCAGCAUGAGUCAGUUCAGCCCUGGCUUCAAGUCCCUUCCCAGCUUCAUCCCUGGCCUUCAAUCAGUAUUCACCACUGUAGCUAGUUGGCAGAUGAUGUGUUUCAGAUGCCUGCACUCCACACCUGCUCCUUGCCAGGGUUGAGGACACGCACCCGUGACACAGCCUCCUCAGGAGGUCCUGACGACUUGUGCUGAAGGUGAUCAGAGCACAGUUUGGUUUUAUACAUUUUAGGGAGACAUGAGACAUCAAUCAACAUAUGUAAAAAAAACCUUGAUUUGGUCUGGAAAGGCGGGACAACUGGAAGCAAAAGCUGGAAGACUUGAAGCAGGGAUGGGACUUCCAAGUCAUAGGUAGAGAAGAGACAAA
This 1157-nucleotide long non-coding RNA is filed under the name Homo sapiens (human). RNAcentral describes it as "HSALNT0063638". Lineage: Eukaryota; Metazoa; Chordata; Mammalia; Primates; Hominidae. The record is from RNAcentral.